Molecule: ribosomal RNA, 301 nt
Filed under: uncultured bacterium
Lineage: Bacteria
Description: partial 16S ribosomal RNA
Rfam family: Bacterial small subunit ribosomal RNA
Source: RNAcentral
CAGUCGCCGCGGGAAUACAGAGGGUGCAAGCGUUAAUCGGAAUUACUGGGCGUAAAGCGCGCGUAGGUGGUUCGUUAAGUUGGAUGUGAAAUCCCCGGGCUCAACCUGGGAACUGCAUCCAAAACUGGCGAGCUAGAGUAGGGCAGAGGGUGGUGGAAUUUCCUGUGUAGCGGUGAAAUGCGUAGAUAUAGGAAGGAACACCAGUGGCGAAGGCGACCACCUGGGCUCAUACUGACACUGAGGUGCGAAAGCGUGGGGAGCAAACAGGAUUAGAUACCCCAGUAGUCCCUGUCUCUUAUAA